UAGGGAAUCUUCGGCAAUGGACGAAAGUCUGACCGAGCAACGCCGCGUGAGUGAAGAAGGUUUUCGGAUCGUAAAACUCUGUUGUUAGAGAAGAACAAGGACGUUAGUAACUGAACGUCCCCUGACGGUAUCUAACCAGAAAGCCACGGCUAACUACGUGCCAGCAGCCGCGGUAAUACGUAGGUGGCAAGCGUUGUCCGGAUUUAUUGGGCGUAAAGCUAGCGCAGGCGGUUUCUUAAGUCUGAUGUGAAAGCCCCCGGCUCAACCGGGGAGAGUCAUUGGAAACUGGGAGACUUGAGUGCAGAAGAGGAGAGUGGAAUUCGAUGUGUAGCGGUGAAAUGCGUAGAUAUAUGGAGGAACACCAGUGGGGAAGACGGCUCUCUGGUCUGAAACUGACGCUGAGGCUAGAAAGCGUGGGGAGCAAACAGG
RNAcentral lists this ribosomal RNA (429 nucleotides) under Gemmatimonadota bacterium. RNAcentral's name for it is "Gemmatimonadetes bacterium partial 16S ribosomal RNA". It matches the Rfam family "Bacterial small subunit ribosomal RNA", at positions 355 to 776 of the family's 1533-position model. Lineage: Bacteria; Pseudomonadati; Gemmatimonadota. The record is from RNAcentral.